This 453-nucleotide ribosomal RNA is filed under the name uncultured organism. RNAcentral describes it as "partial 16S ribosomal RNA". It matches the Rfam family "Bacterial small subunit ribosomal RNA", at positions 331 to 800 of the family's 1533-position model. The record is from RNAcentral.
GUACACUCCUACGGGAGGCAGCAGUGGGGAAUAUUGGACAAUGGGCGCAAGCCUGAUCCAGCCAUGCCGCGUGAGUGAUGAAGGCCCUAGGGUUGUAAAGCUCUUUUGUGCGGGAAGAUAAUGACGGUACCGCAAGAAUAAGCCCCGGCUAACUUCGUGCCAGCAGCCGCGGUAAUACGAAGGGGGCUAGCGUUGCUCGGAAUCACUGGGCGUAAAGGGUGCGUAGGCGGGUCUUUAAGUCAGGGGUGAAAUCCUGGAGCUCAACUCCAGAACUGCCUUUGAUACUGAAGAUCUUGAGUUCGGGAGAGGUGAGUGGAACUGCGAGUGUAGAGGUGAAAUUCGUAGAUAUUCGCAAGAACACCAGUGGCGAAGGCGGCUCACUGGCCCGAUACUGACGCUGAGGCACGAAAGCGUGGGGAGCAAACAGGAUUAGAAACCCCAGUAGUCCCAUGA